Molecule: long non-coding RNA, 199 nt
Organism: Pseudophryne corroboree (corroboree frog)
Lineage: Eukaryota; Metazoa; Chordata; Amphibia; Anura; Myobatrachidae
Exons: 3
Source: RefSeq, a predicted model, not a curated record
CCCUACUUCCGGCCUGUGCGUUCCACCUGACUUCCGGUCACUGCAUUCCAUUCCACACACUGGAAUCCUCAGUGUCCGUAGAGAUCAGGCUCUUCCACAGAUACGAAGACAGUUCCACAAAAGAGGGAGUAUAUAGAGGAACACAGGGGUCUGUACAAGGACGUGAUGAUGGAGAAUCACCGGCCCCUCACAUCACUGG